AUUGAACGCUGGCGGCAUGCUUUACACAUGCAAGUCGAACGGCAGCGCGGGCUUCGGCCUGGCGGCGAGUGGCGAACGGGUGAGUAAUGCAUCGGAACGUGCCCAGUAGUGGGGGAUAGCCCGGCGAAAGCCGGAUUAAUACCGCAUACGACCUGAGGGUGAAAGCGGGGGACCGAAAGGCCUCGCGCUAUUGGAGCGGCCGAUGUCGGAUUAGCUAGUUGGUGGGGUAAAGGCUUACCAAGGCGACGAUCCGUAGCUGGUCUGAGAGGACGACCAGCCACACUGGGACUGAGACACGGCCCAGACUCCUACGGGAGGCAGCAGUGGGGAAUUUUGGACAAUGGGGGCAACCCUGAUCCAGCCAUGCCGCGUGCGGGAAGAAGGCCUUCGGGGUGUAAACCGCUUUUGUUCGGGAAGAAAUCCUCUGGGCUAAUACCCCGGGGGGAUGACGGUACCGGAAGAAUAAGCACCGGCUAACUACGUG
RNAcentral lists this ribosomal RNA (484 nucleotides) under uncultured bacterium. RNAcentral's name for it is "partial 16S ribosomal RNA". It matches the Rfam family "Bacterial small subunit ribosomal RNA", at positions 28 to 507 of the family's 1533-position model. The record is from RNAcentral.